This 1057-nucleotide long non-coding RNA is filed under the name Marmota marmota marmota (Alpine marmot). RNAcentral's name for it is "lncRNA (ENSMMMG00000013771.1)". The record is from RNAcentral. Lineage: Eukaryota; Metazoa; Chordata; Mammalia; Rodentia; Sciuridae.
GUUUCACAUUAACAUGUUCUACAGUCAUACAUUGCCUAACAAUGGGAUCUGACACGAUGGCAUCUGAUGACUUUGAUAUAGUGAUUGAGGCCAUGCUGGAAGCUCCCUAUAAAAAAGAGGAGGUAAUAUUCCCCACCUCACUCCUGGAAUUGGGUUAAUAAGAAAGAGCAGUUGUGGAUCAUCGGUUGAAACAUUUUGUGAAUCUUCUUUCCCUGCUUGUUUAUUAUGCUCAGUGACUAUUCUUAAAAGGCAUAGUCUUUCGUAAUCUUUGCUGGGGACCUGUACUCAAGGACCAUUCUUUUAGUGAGGACCCUGAAAGCCAGGGGUGGGCACAUAAUGUGGUGGUGGUAUCAUGUGCUUUGCUGGUAACUCUCAGUGACAGUAGAAAGUCAGUGAACCUCAGACCAGCGCCAGUUUCUCACUCUCCUGGGACAUAAUGUCAGUGAAACAGAUGUUAGGUAGCUGACAUUUGACAUCAAAGUCUGUCAUUCUGAUCUCUUCCUUUUUGGUAGUUUCCUUGCUUCCUCUAUUAUUCCCCUUGUUAGGAGAUCCAGGUGCUCCAAAACUGGCUAGAUAAUCGAGAGCUUUUGAUUUCUUCCUUGUCCACCUUUGUUCUUUUUGCCCAAUGGAAUCUGUGUGUCUGCCACCUUGUACCUUGUGAUAUUUUCCUGGCGAACUCCUCAGGAUGAGCAGCAAAGGAAAGAGGUUAAAAAGGACAGUCCUAGCAAUACCACCAGCAACACCGGCAACAGUGGCAGUGGUACCAGUGUGAGCACCACCACUGGGGAGACAAGCAAGUGAGUGUGGGGUGAAGAAACGGGUUGGCAACUUGGGGAAGGGAAACAACGGCAUCCAUUGGAGAAACGGCCAGAAUAGGGAGGCGAUGGCUCUUAAGACUGCUGACAUUUAGUAAUGGCUCCACUGGGUCAUGGGAACAUUGGUGAGUUGGUUUAAUGAUCUUCUAGUCUUCGCUUUCCAGUGUAGAUUUGUGGAUCAGUCCUAGCAUCGAUAUAUUUCAUUUGAAUAAAAUAGCAAGAGGACCCCUGAUUUGGAAACA